CAUGACCAAUGGGCUUUGAGGAGGCUGCCCGAGGCCAUAUUAGGGAUUAGGGUUAGUUUCUCGAGGCCAUUCGAACUUUGAAGGCUAGGGUCAGAAGGUUUUGGUUUUUGGUUAAGGUUUUGGUGCAAGUUUUGUGUCAUUUGGGGUUUUUAUUAAGAAGUUAUAGGCGCUCAAAGUUAAGGUGUAAGUUUUCGACGUACUGUCACUCUUUUGAGCAUACCGCACGCGUACGGAUGGCAAACGAGGAUCGGCAACCGGAUUUGAAGAGAACACUUUUUCGGCUACAGUUUGUGCAUACUGUUUAUCGAAUUCCAAGCUUUUAUGAAGGAGAUAUUGGCAGUUGAAGUCAGCGCUUGAUAUCUAAGGGUAGUAAGUAGUCCGAAUUACUUGUGCUUGUGAUUUGAGCUAUAUCUUAGACAAUUUGAUGAGGUUUUAGCUCAAAAUUUUCUAGAUUGAGUGUAAUCUUGUUAUAAAGCUUUCUAUACAAGUUUUGUGUGAUUUGGAGCUUGGGUUUAAGAGAUAUAAGGAAAAUAGUUUUCGGGUGCUUGUAAGUUAGGGUUUUGUGCACCUGCUAGGGUUUCUUAGAUGCCGAACGAUCGGUGAUAGAUGUACGGUUCUAUUUUUUUGUGGUAAAAUUUAAGUAUAGCAUCUAGCUUAUGUAGAAAUUUGAAACAAAUUGAACGGUUCGAUUAGCUUUUAUGAAUUUUCAAAGUCUGAUGUAAAAAGGUCCUUGGCGGGAAGAAAUAUAUUUUGAAGAAUUUUAAGAUAUUUUGAAUUUUUAUACAAAGCAAGGAGUUUGUUUUUGGGAGCUAAGGCAUUAUAUAAAAAAGAAACCUAAACUCUCUACAGCUAGAUACCUGGUGUAUUCCCAGAUAGAAAAUCACGCCAUACGACAAUGUCUGAC
This 904-nucleotide long non-coding RNA is filed under the name Physcomitrium patens. Its description in RNAcentral is "long non-coding RNA (PPAT_LNC007872)". The record is from RNAcentral. Lineage: Eukaryota; Viridiplantae; Streptophyta; Bryopsida; Funariales; Funariaceae.